UGACGAAUCGUCCAAUCGUUGUAGAUCUUUAACAAGGAGAGUUCUUAUUUGCGCGUAAUACAUUCGUAAUUGAAUAAUAUACAUUGUUUUAUGUAAUGAUCACAAGUUAUAUAAGGAUGCUACAGGUCCUCAGUUCGAAAUCUGGUUCGCGACGUAAAAGAAUUAUUGCUAUAUGCGAGUGUAAAAAAAAAUAUACGUGCGAUUGUUCAUCGAUAUUUUAUAUUAUUAAAAAUAAAUAUUGAAAACAUUGUGUUGUGAAAUAUUUGGUGAAAACAGUGAAAAUUGUGGAUCGAAAACAUCGACGCGGUAUGAAUGAUAACAUUUUUCGAAGAUUAAGGAAGAUGGAGCACGCACGCUACGUGACAAUGGGAAGUUAGAAGCGAAUUGUCUUGUGUUGAGAGAAGGUGCUACCAGAUCACGCGUGGUGGUUAACAGAUGCACGUCCUUUCGAGUGGAGGAUCGAUAAUUCGCUUGACGUUUCGAGAGUUUCGCUAGAUGCUACUCAAGAAUCGUAUUCAUUGGUCGAGUAGACGAUUCUGAUCUUUAUUGGGACAAUAAACUACGGUGCAUACGUAUUAUGAGAGCAUCCUGUGAUCCAAACUAUGACGGUUCGCUGUGGGCAUCAACUCGAAGUUCCACGUAUGUACAACGUAAAUACUGAAGCAACGGGAAAUAAAAGGAACGGCCGAUUUCCGGAGGGCAUAUCGUUGACAUUAUGAACUUUUGCUGUAACGAGAUAAGAAAUAUCAGAGAAAGAGCAUAUAAUUCUUUCGUCGCGUCUUACCAACUUCUGCGACUUUUAAUCCCAGUAAACAUCGAUGUUGUGGGACGCGUUCCAAUACAAAAUCAAAAACAAGAAAAAGAUAUCUUAUUUCUUUUCUGCUUCGAGUAAACUCGUAAGCUAUGAAAACUCGUAAAAAUUAUUUCUAUAUCUGAUACUACAUUUGAAGGACUAGAUAGAUAGAAAGAGAGAGAGAGAGAGAGAGAGAGAGAGAGAGAGAGAGAGAAAGAGAUAAAUAAAGAAAAAGAAAGAAAGAAAAGUACUUACUAAAAAUAGAAAAGAGAAAAUAGAAAAGAAUGCAAGCAAUUUUUCGUUAAAAGACUCUCCUCACGCGAUUUGCCAACUUCCUGAUUCCUCCAACUAUAUCCAAUCGAUUGAAUCUUAAUAGUUUGUAAAGUUGAAGGAAGGAAGUAACAGAGAGAGAGAAAGAGAGAGAGAGAGAGAGAGAGAGAGACAUGGCUAGCUGGCUAUCAUCGAACGGCGACGAACCUAUGGAUCGUAAUUACGUGCGAAACGUUUUGAACUACAUUAACGACUUGAAGGAGUCCUUCUCUGAGGAGGAAUUCAAGUGCCUCGAACGAAAGCAUCAAGACCUACAAGCUCGGUUAGAAGAACGACACCAGCAUCAAGCCAUCAAUGGUGGAAUUGAGGAAGGAGGAGCUACGGAGGGUCAAGAGGGUUGCGAAGUUAGUUGGGACUCUUUACUCUGUUGGCCAUACACGUCACCAGGAACUCUCGCCAUAUUACCUUGCUUCGAAGAACUCAAUGGCAUACGCUACGACAAUACUCAAAACGCAAGUCGAUGGUGUUGGCUAAAUGGUACAUGGGAUAGUUAUUCAAACUAUUCUUCGUGCCGUGACAUUCGACCGUUGAACAUUGAAGCUGAUGUAGAAAUUACGACAAAAAUAUAUUUCAUUGGAUAUAGCUUGUCCCUUUGUACUCUGGCGAUAGCCGUCUCCAUAUUUUUAUAUUUUAAGGAACUGAGAUGUCUAAGGAACAAUAUACAUAUAAAUUUAAUGUUCACGUACAUUCUGGCUGACCUCAUGUGGAUAUUAACUACUGCAAUGCAGGUCUCUAUGCAAACAGACAUACCAACUUGCGUCACGUUCUUCUCUCUUCUUCAUUAUUUUCAAUUGACCAAUUUCUUCUGGAUGUUCGUCGAAGGAUUGUAUCUCUAUUUGUUAGUUGUAAGAACUUUUACGGGAGAUAAUAUUCAACUAAAGAUGUGUCUUGUCAUAGGUUGGGGUGUUCCAAUUCUCAUCAUAGCUAUUUGGGGCAUCGCCAAGUCUCUUGUCACUCAAGGAAAUCAGAAUGUCGCACUUUGGAAGCAUUGUCCAUGGAUGACACCACAUUCCUACGAUUGGAUUUAUCAAGCAUCUGUCAUUACAGUUCUUGCCGUGAAUGUGAUUUUCUUGUUCUUGAUCAUGUGGGUACUGAUCACUAAGUUAUGGUCUGCAAACAAUGCAGAAACGCAACAGUAUAGAAAAGCUAGCAAAGCUCUGUUGGUGCUGAUACCACUUCUUGGAGUGACAUACGUUCUGGUUCUCGCUGGACCAACGGAAGGUCAAGCAGCUAAUGCAUUUUCUUACACCCGUGCUGUGUUACUUUCUUCUCAGGGUUUGCUGGUGACGCUAUUCUAUUGUUUUCUCAAUACCGAGGUGCAGAAUACGCUGAGACAUCACUUUGCAAGGUGGACGACGUCGCGUGAUCUUGGCAAUAGUCGAAGGUAUUACAAGAAUUGGUCUCCGCGCUCAAGAACAGAAAGCAUAAGGUACUUGAAGUCCGCGCCGAAGACGCGCACGUCUUAAAAUCGCUUUGCGGUGCUUCAAGACGUUGAAAGAACGCAGAAAUGAGGAACGUGAACGCCUCUCCUCUUUUAAUAUUAUUUUAUAAGACGGCCCAGAUAGAAAAUCGAGAGAAGCUGCGUUUCUUCAACGAUAAAUCUUAUCGAGAAAUAAUAAAGGCUAUACGGCCAACCUUCAAAUCCAUAUCGUAAAAGGGAAUCUACGGUAAGUGAAACGACGACCACAACGGUGAUAGGUCCGAAUUCAACAACAACGUUUCUGGACAAAUCUAAGAAAGCCAUUUCAGAAGACUCAAAUGAAUAAAGUUUUACACGAAGCGAAUUUCGGUGGGAGGAGAGACUGAUUGCCUCUAAAUUUUCAACUCAUCUUUGUUCGCUUAAAAAAAUCUCCAAUUUUUCUACCAGCCAAAUUAUGAUAUACAGUAGAUAUUAGUAAAAAUUAAAUUGAUCCAACACUGCUAUAUGAGGUAAUAAAUAUUAUAUUAUUAUUUUUUAAUAAGAUUAUAAGGCUCCUUUAUUUUUCCACUUUUGUCUUAUUUAGCAAUAAUAGAAUCUUUUUUUUUUUGUAAUAUUUAAAAACACGAAAGAAACUGAAAAAUGAGAUUAAAGAAUUUAUAUGAAUAUGUAUAGGGUAUGGGUAUAUGUAUAGGAUAUAUGUAUAGGUAUGUGUAUAGAAAUUAAUUUUUAGUUGUAUAAAUCCAUAUCAUACAUUUAUAUUCCCCGAAUAUAUGCAUGUUCAUAUAUACAUAAUAAUAUUCUAUGCACACUCCCUAACUUAUGGCACAGUACGACUAAAAUCAUCUCUGUAUAGUAUUAUAUCUAAUUGUUUAAAUGAAAUGUUGAUUGCAUAUAAAAUAAUAUAAGAGCAUGUAACAUUAGGUUAUACGAUUGAGAUAUUCAUUUUUAAUUUUUGAAUUUUCACCUUUCAAAGAUAAAUUAGAUAUUAAUUAUCAACUAGACUGAAUAUUAUUUUAAGGAUAUAUGCGGCAAUAACUCUGGCAAAUAUUAAGGUAAUACGCGAAGUAACUCUACCAAAUACACCCGCAGAUAAACAAAGUUACGCCAUAAAUAUGUAACUGUAUUACAGAAUAUUACAUAUUUA
Vespula vulgaris is the source of this 3687-nucleotide RNA transcript. It is a transcript of the gene named diuretic hormone receptor-like, with no coding region annotated. The record is from RefSeq and is a predicted model, not a curated record. The transcript has 14 exons. NCBI's taxonomy places the organism in Eukaryota, Metazoa, Arthropoda, Insecta, Hymenoptera, Vespidae.